GACGAACGCUGGCGGCGUGCUUAACACAUGCAAGUCGAACGGAGUGGCGAACGGGUGAGUAACACGUGGGUGACCUGCCCUGCACUUCGGGAUAAACCUGGGGAACUGGGUCUAAUACCGGAGAGUGUUGGAUGGGCGCGCGGCCUAUGAGCUUGUUGGUGGGGUAAUGGCCUACCAAGGCGGCGACUGGUAGCCGGCCUGAGAGGGUGGACGGCCACCAUGGGCCUUCGACACGGCCCAGACUGGUACGGGAGGCAGCGGUGUGGAAUCUUGCACAAUGGGCGGAAGCCUGAUUCAGCGACGCCGGGUGGGUGAUGACGGCUUUCGGGUUGUAAACUCCUUUCACCAUCGACGCGGUAGCUGGAGAAGAAGCACCGGCUAACUACGUGCCAGCCGCCGCGGUAAUAC
Molecule: ribosomal RNA, 408 nt
Filed under: uncultured bacterium
Lineage: Bacteria
Description: partial 16S ribosomal RNA
Rfam family: Bacterial small subunit ribosomal RNA
Source: RNAcentral